AGACCAGUGAAAAUAGUUCAUCCACAGCUGAGGUGAAAUCCUAAGCACAAAUCGAGGAUUGAGAACUAUUGUUGCUAGCUUGAUGGGGUGUAUUUGGCAACUUUCAUGUCUAUUACAUGUGCAUGAUUUGACCAGUGCCCAUCUUCCAUAGUUUGGCCAGUGUCGAGGAUGCAUGUAGCCGAGACCGAGGUGGAGACCCACAACAGCAAUUGUAUAUAAAUUGCAUUGCAAUUCAAAAAAAUUAGUUGAGAAUUAUCCCAUUCCAAGUUUUUCAGCACCAG
RNAcentral lists this long non-coding RNA (281 nucleotides) under Elaeis guineensis (African oil palm). RNAcentral's name for it is "long non-coding RNA (EGUI_LNC002344)". Lineage: Eukaryota; Viridiplantae; Streptophyta; Magnoliopsida; Arecales; Arecaceae. The record is from RNAcentral.